RNAcentral lists this ribosomal RNA (253 nucleotides) under uncultured bacterium. Its description in RNAcentral is "partial 16S ribosomal RNA". It matches the Rfam family "Bacterial small subunit ribosomal RNA", at positions 524 to 776 of the family's 1533-position model. The record is from RNAcentral.
UACGUAGGGGGCUAGCGUUGUCCGGAUUUAUUGGGCGGAAAGAGCGUGUAGGCGGCCAUGUAGGUCCGGUGUGAAAACUCGAGGCUUAACCUCGAGAUGUCAUCGGAAACCAUUUGGCUAGAGUCCGGAAGAGGAGAGUGGAAUUCCUGGUGUAGCGGUGAAAUGCGCAGAUAUCAGGAAGAACACCAAUGGCGAAAGCAGCUCUCUGGGACGGUACUGACGCUGAGACGCGAAAGCGUGGGGAGCGAACAGG